This 419-nucleotide unclassified non-coding RNA is filed under the name Hevea brasiliensis (rubber tree). Lineage: Eukaryota; Viridiplantae; Streptophyta; Magnoliopsida; Malpighiales; Euphorbiaceae. The record is from RNAcentral.
AGGAAAGGCUUGUCAAGUUGCCUCACAGGAUCAGGAAUGUAUUCAUCCACAGCAUCCAUUAAUUUUAAGAUGGCAUUUUUCCCUAUUUCUUCAUUUGUUCCCUGUAAAGCAGACAAUGCUGAUCCCCGAAUGAUAGGAAUUUCAUCUCCAGGAAACUUGUAGAAACUAAGCAGUUCACGGAGCUCCAUUUCCACAAGCUCUAAUAACUCUGGAUCAUCAACGGCAUCAACUUUAUUCAGGAAACAUACAAGUGACGGCACACCAACCUGACGAGCAAGCAGAAUGUGCUCCUUUGUCUGUGGCAUGGGCCCAUCAGGGGCAGAUACAACUAGAAUUCCACCAUCCAUCUGGGCAGCUCCAGUAAUCAUGUUUUUUACAUAAUCUGCAUGUCCAGGGCAGUCAACAUGGGCAUAGUGACG